UCUGUGUUUGUGUGUUGGCACCACCAAUGCUUGGACCCUCCCUGGGAGCCCCUAAAACAUUUCAUAGACCUCCAAGGAAAAAUCAGAAGCCCGUGUUGUUCUUCACAGCUGAUAUUCAUUGCAGUAAAGGGUUAACUCCGGAAUGAAACCAAACCAACUGAGAUGAUCAAAUUAAUAUGCAUCUGAAUAUCAAAAUAUAAGUCUUUACGUUGUUGCGGUAAUUCCAGGUAACAUUGGGUUGUCUAUUUCUACAAGCUUUAUUUAUCUGCAUUGAUUCUAUGUUCCAUAUGCAUGCUUCUUGGAGAAGGUGUGGCAUGAGCCAAUCAUCCUUUCAUUGGUGUUUUUAAAUUUGUAAUGCCGCCCAGAGUGUGGCACGAGCCAAUCAUCCUUUCAUUGGUGUGACUGUUUUUAAAUUUGUAAUGCCGCCCAGAGUAGGUAGACCUUUGGUCUAGGUGGCUGGGGUAGAAAUCUAAUAAAAUAAAUAAAUGAAUGAAUUUGUAGAUCUAUUCAAUUGUAAGUAAAGAAACCUUUUAUUCCGUCUCCUAUUAUUGUCUCAGAGUGAGUUACUGGGACUGUGAGUGCUAGUUGAUGAGAAAAAGGAUGAACGAAAUGGGAGGGGAGGACUUGAAGCAGUACGGUUCUGUGAAUCCCUGCCCUUCCAUUGCAUAGCCAGAGGAAUUUAGCCAACAUUCAAAACUCUGCAACAAAAAAUACUGGGAAGGAUGCCACGGUGUGGACGAUCCCCUCAGAGGGCAUGACCAAAACGUGCAGGAAAAUGUAGAGUAGCAGAGGGACUCAGCUUUGGGGCCUGAGGUUCCCCUCCCCUCCCUAGCCAGGCUAGUAUGCAAGACAUUUGGAUAAAUAUCCAACAUAAAUAAAAUAAAGCCUUUAGUGAACAGAUGCCACAAGACUCUGUCUGUCUGUCUGUGUGUGUGUGUGUGUGUGUGUGGUUCACUACCUUUGGGGGGGGUCUCCUAAGCAUCGCUAAUGAUUAAGCAACCUGAGCAGUGCAUUGGCAGCCAGUUCCCCCUGAAACAACUGGGAGAGGCAGAGUCCAGGGACGCCGUUUCCUCCCACCCCAGCCCUGCUGCCCUCCGGGGCCUGAUUCUGGGGCCAGGGGAGCCUGCGAAGCAUGAAGCGCUCCUGGCUGCUCUUGGGAGCUGUGGCCCUGGCUCUCGAGCCGGCUGCCUUGGCCGCCUCUUUGGGAAGGAAGGACCAGGCCCGGAGGCGGCCGCCGCUCCGAGGGAGCCAGCCCUGCGUCGGGUGCUACACCCUUCUGUCCGCGCCCCUCUUCCCAUUGGAAAGAUCCCCUGCCUUCGAAAACGCCACCUUUUCGCUUCUUGUGGAGCCCAGCCCAUGGGUAGGUUGCAGGAAGGAGGAGGGGAGGCUGGGAAGGGGGAGGCAUUUGGGGGGGAGGGCCUCUCUAGAGGCUCACUUGUAAGAGGGCCGUAGGCUGCGAUCCCAUGGAGCGAUCCCUCUCCGCUUGGACUGCUGGUGGCUUGGUUCCGAGUGAACUGUUUCUUGGUGGAUCACAGAGGGGGCUCUCCAGCCUGAUUCUGAGCUGGUCCCUUUUGGUCUCACUGUAAGGGGGUGGGUGGGCUGAAGCAAUUCCCCAAUGGACGAUUUAAGGGUCGAUUUAAAGGGGGGGGUCGCUCCCAGCAAAGGGACCCUUUCCAAUGUGAUAAGUCGCACAACUUUCUUGCUGCACAGAACUUCUCAAGAUGCCCGUUUCUGGGGAUGGCAGAUGUGACUGAAGCUCCAGCCACCCCCCCCCCCGUGUAAAAAGUUUUAGGAAACAGAGGUUGCAGGAGGUGUUGACCUCCCUCGACCUUCCCGACAUCAGCUGAUAAAGUGGGAAGACUGUGACAAACCCAGACCUACUGGGAUAUGCCACAGUUUCACUAAGCUGCCACCAACCAUUCCCUAUAAGAAGUCACACAGACCAGGGAUGGAUUUUUAACAAAUAAAAGAACAAGGUUUAUUAAAUAACA
This 1991-nucleotide long non-coding RNA is filed under the name Pogona vitticeps (central bearded dragon). RNAcentral's name for it is "lncRNA (ENSPVIG00000021126.1)". The record is from RNAcentral. Lineage: Eukaryota; Metazoa; Chordata; Lepidosauria; Squamata; Agamidae.